ACUGCUCGGGAGGAGGGACAGGAUAAUCAGCCUGUUGCAUCGUUCAGUGGUAAGCAUAGAGAUCCUGGGAUGUGAGCAUGCUGUGAGCUCAGACUCUAGCUGCACUGCACAAUUAAUCUUUGUGAAGGUAAAACACUUGUGAUGGCAUCUGGUAGGAAGAGCUGCAGUGGGGGUGAGCUCCCAUGGAAACUGCUUUUUAUCACUUCUUUUGAGUAUGAAGCUAUGUCUGUAAAGUGAGAUGAAUCAAAAAUCAAACUAUGAAGACCUCCCAAAUUCAAGACAAACUGUGCACUUUAUGCUCAGAAGAAUCCAAGGAGAAAAAAAGGGAUUACUUGAAAAUCCAAAUGAAAGAAAGUCCAAAAGAGACAGAUACCUGGCAGAAAAGGACUGUGGAACUGGAAGCUGAACUGAAAAGAUGCAAACAUGAGACACCUUCAGACCAAGGGAAUGAAUACGUCUGCUUUUCUAAGAUAAGUCUUCUGCCUUUCAGCUGUAGAGGAUUGCACCUUUUCUUUUUCAUUUCCUGUGCUUGUUGUCAGUGUAUGUUGGAGUGUGUUUCAUGAUGGAAUUCUACACAGAAAUGGCUAUAUUGACUUCUAUAUGGAGUCACUCAUCCCUUCUGUAUGAAGUCAUGUCUAGCUCCUGUCUAUGACACCCACAUCUUUUCUAAUUAUUUCUGAGAUAAGGUGAAGGGAUAAGAACCUAUAGUAUUGAUAGUAUGGAUUAUGUCUGCUGGGGUUUUUGGUUUGCUUUUUAAUGGAUACUCUCAAAGAUUUAAACAAAGCUGUUUGUCAACGUUGUCACUUCUUGAUGACGUUAGUGGUAAACAAAACGCUCAUAGGUCAUUAUUUGUUUGGUUUGCUGGUAGAACUGAUUACUUGGAAUAAUACCACUAAGUUUGUCUCAUGCUGUAAAUCCCACCUUAAUAAAACAUUUUUCAAGGAAUAGGUAAAACGAAAAUUAGAUGUUUCUUUGUGGAAUGAUGUGCUUUUAUACGGUUAAGAAAAUAUUUUAUCCGUAACACCAAGAAAGCCUUCCUGCACAGUUGUUGCCUGUUUUGUUUGAACUUCUCAAAAAGAGAAAAAUCAGUGGAUAACGUAAAGCUUAAGCACUUUUUUUUCCGCACUGUCUUCCUCUCCCCACAUUCUUGUCCUUGAGCCCCCUGCCAAAAGCGGGACCUCCUGCUCAGGCUUUGCUUGUCACUGCUAUCAGCAGAUUGUCACCUGAUGGAUGCCCUCCAUGGUGUCCUUGGUCUGUGCUGGGACACUACCUGCAGCUCCGUUAGCAGGUGUGGCAAUCUGGAGGGGGGAGCUCUCAGUGCAACAACCUGAUGUUUGAUCUGUGGGGGUUUCAAGGGUUUUACUUUUGCCUAGCUCUUAGUCCUUGGGACCAGAUGCCCAGUGGUGGCUGGGAUGCAUCUUUUGGUUGAUUUGAUCCAAAAGGAAUCCAAUUUGCAUUUUUUCAAGACUACUCAGUGAUAUGAACCACAGUGCAAGAUGCAUAGACAAUUGGAAGACUUGCAUCAAGUGCAUUCUGCAGCCAACCAGAUGGUGACGUGGAAGUACCCUUUGAUUUGUUUCAUCUCUUUUAUGUGCUUCAGAAGCUUGAAGAUGAGUUUAGUUCUCCUGAAGCGUGCCUGCUGACCAUUAUUCAGUGGAUGCCCUGCAAGCACGGAGCAGCCUCUGGCAGGAGGGCCUGUGCUGCCAGUGUGUUCCAAGCUGUCUUGUGAAGACUGUUCUGAGCUCUGAAGGCAGCCCAUCUUCCAGCCCAGUGAGACUGAUAACACUGCCAGGGAGGUCUGAUGCAGACAAAUCCUGCCUGGCAGCUUGUUUAAUUAAAGUGGAGGACACAAGCCUGUCUGGAAGGAACUCAGGAUGGAGAGGAGGUGCAAACCCAGAGGACCACCAUGAAACACAGCAAGCUGUUUGUUUUUUGUUUAAAUGGAAGAAGGACAAAGGAAGGGAAAAAGGAAAAAUCUUGAUUCUGGAAAAUGAGAAGGUGCUUAUCAGAGGAAAUGCAGGAGAGAAGCAUACAACCUCAAUGUAAACUUUGGAUUUGCUACAGUGCAAAGAGAAACACUAUGUUGCUGGUAGUGAAGAUGUAUUCUUCAUGGCAAAACGCUGGGGGAAGCAGUUAAGACCUCCUAACACUUCCAUGUUCUCCAGGGCUGUGAGUCUGCAGGUCACAAUACUGCUGUGUGACUAAGGGGGGUGGGAGAAUUUUUUUCCUCUAGUAAGUCAAAUCUUGAGAACUGAAUUCUUACCGUUCCUGUAAAGUCAAAGGUAGGGGUGUUGCUAGGAGUAAGAAUGCUUGGAAAUCUGCUGCUGAGUGCUUUUCUGCCAUGUAUCCCUCAUGUAUCAAACUGGGAUCUGGGCCUCAUCAGCAGUUGGUCGCUGAACCUGCCCCAUUGCAAAAUGGAUGACUUCAUCUAGAGAGUUGAGAUGUUCCAACAAGUCACCUUCACUUUCCAUAACCUGCAGAGCUCUCCAGUCCUGCAGGUGUUGUCAGAGUUGUGCUCUAGGGAAACUUACCCCCUGAAAAAGCUGUGUUAACCUCUAGCAAGUCCCUUGGAAUCUGCAGUGCUGUCCCAGACAUACAGUGCGAACAAAGCCCAGGGUGCUGUAGCACAUUUGUACCAGGGUUUCCUGAUUCUAAGUGCAGUGAGAUAUGGCCUAAAAUGAACCAUUGUUAUAACAAUGACAAAGAUGCUGGGGUAAAAAUAACAUUAUUUCCUUUGGAAAGAAAAGAGUUCUAUUUUUAAUUAUUUUUUUCAUUAGUCUUUCUAUUUCACUCUACCAGUGUUUAUAGUACAGAGUACAAUACUUUUUGUUAUGAUUGUUCUUUGUGUGACUGGGACAUAAGUAGGCAUUCUGUAGCAAAAUGUCUGGGAUACAGAAUCCAAAAAGCUUGUGCUGCAGGAAGUUCUAAAAAAGCCCCACACAAUCCCCUCCCACCCACCCUCCAAAAAAACCCAAACCCCAAACAAAACAAAUGAGCAAAAACCCUAAAAGACUGCCAUAGUUUCUGUGUGGAAAGUUAUUGUAUCCUUUGGAAUGUAAGCUUGCCUAUCUCUUCUGUUAGGACACUUCUCUUAAAACGAAUACUUUCUUCGUGGAAAAUCAGAUUUGCUCCAGAAUUGAAAAUCUUGAUUUUGAUUGCUAAAAGACAUCAAUCUGCCAUUGGCAAUGAUUUUUGUUGUUGUUGUUGUUGUUGCUUUUUUUAGUGGGGAGUGGUUGGCGGGGUUUUGGUUUUGGUUCUCCUGUUUUUCCAUACAGCCAGUUGAUCCAAACAGACCCCUGUGACUGCACGGCAUUGUAGUCUUCAGGGAGGCUUUCACACACGUCAGGCUGGUAUUACUGCUGAAGGAGGGUGCCUGCCUGAAGGAAAUAGCAGAGCUGAAGGCUGUGUUGAAUGGGGGGUCACAGAGUGAACCAUGGGAUGAAGAGGAGUGAAGAGGAAGUAAUGACCACAGACCAUCAAGACAACCACCUAGAGGCCUAACUGCACAGCCAUAAAAGGACACCGUAAGGUCCCGGGAAGACUCGUACAUACGCAAAUAAUUCUGGGAAAUGUAGUGAAUCUGUAUAGCUAUGUGACAUAAAAUGGGACCUGUGAAAUAGUUUGGGAUGCACGUUAGGUGGAGCGAUCCCCCGUGCAUCCGGCACUGCAGUAAAUAAUGCCUGCUUCUUAAUACUACAUUGCUGUUAAGGAGUUGUAGUCCCAGGUUUUGGUGACAUUAGGAAUCUCAUCUACAGACUUUGUUCUUUAUCCUAAUACUUGUCCUUCCAGAAUGUCUUCUACCUGAGGAAUUAAAAGCUUUUUGCAGGUUUUGUAGGAGUUGUCUUUGUCAAGAUACAGGCCUUGUGAGAAUGGGGUGGAAAGUGCUCUGUAGGCUGCAUGCUGGAUGGUCCUUGGCGUACCUGGACAGUCCCCACUUAGGUUUCCAUCCCCUUCAGCUGCCAGCGGUUGCAGGGGAUGGAAAUUCCUUUAGGAUGUGGCAACGCUGUCCUGGAGAGAGGAGUUAUGCAGGGAUUCAUUUCACAGAAACAACUUCCAAGGUGGAUUUUCUUUCCAUUUAGUGUUAAACUGAGUGUGUUUCACAGGUAAAUAGUGCUGAGCUCAGCUGUGUGGCCUAAAGUGGAGUUUGCCCCAUGUUUUAUAGUUGCUGGUUCUACGUUAGAGUAAGGAGGGCAGGCAGUAGGCUUUGGUAUUGUACUGUCUAAAAGAGCAGUAGUUGUUGAAUAAAACUGAGAACUUUUUCAUAGUUACUCUUUAUAUGAUGAUGAAUAUUACCCAGUAUAUUUGCUGCCUCAUCAAUGCUAAAUGUAUCAAUGACUGGGUAUUCUGUAGCUAAAUCUCAUUUAGAAAUAAUGAUGUCUCCAGCCAUUGUGAAGUGGCAUCAUUGUGCAAUAUCCCUGUGCUUUGUAAGUAACUUCAGAAACAUAAAGAUCUUGGUGGAUAGCAUUUUCUUUAAUGUGUUAAUGUAUUCGCACAUCUGGUUUGGCCAGUAAGAACAGAGGACAGUUUGCUUCUGGAGAAGAUGAGAGAACUGCAGGAAGCCCUUGAGAAAAUCUCCCUCGCGUAGCUUGGCCUCAACUGUUCAUGAGAAUGGAGCAAGGUUACCAGCUUCCCAGCAGAGACCAGUGGAUGUUGGGUCAGCGGCUUAAGUAUAGGAGGGAUUUUCUCAUGUGGCUAUUCCUGGGAUGCAGUUCUUUGAGAUGCUGAUUGUAACUGGCCAGCAUGAAAAAGGUCUGUUCUGAUCUGACAUUCCUCAAACACCUGAAAUUCCUAUUGAAGAAAGAAGCAAUUUUGAGUUUUGCUGGAGUGUGCAAGGGCUUUUUCUUUCCUAAAGCCAGGUGAUUCUCAAAAUACUAUACAACCACAGAUCUAAGACUGAAAUUCCACUGAAGGGAAAAAAGAACGUAACAUCCUGCUUGAUAUUAUGGUAAUUAUGUACAUGAGAAGAUGGUUUCUAGAGGAAGUGUUAUCGUACAUAUGAAGAAUGCUUGAGAAAUGCAGGUAGUAUCGAAGUGAGGAGGACUCGCCCUCCAAUCUACGCAGAUGCUCCUGCCCCGCAGCGAUGGCAGAGCAGGAAACCCACACAGCCAGAAGGGACGAGGGAACCAGCGAUCUAUGACUUGCUGCCUCUCUGGGUUUGGAAACGGGGCAGAGCCCACACUACCAGCACAUGGUCGUACUGAAAUGGAAACAGAAAAAUAUGCUGCACCUGAGCUUUACAGUAGACUCUAAUUUCUUAUCACUUCUUUCCCAGCUUAAACCUCUCACAUUUCUGCUGUAACUUUUUGUUGUGUUUUCAGUUAUCACAUGAUAACCCUAUCGGACAACAUAUUUACAACAGUCAUCUCGGUUCCCUGUGCAAACAUGCCAUGAAUGUUUAAUUACAAAAUUUAGUAAUAUUUAUACAGAGAUGGGGCAGCAGAGAUUAAAAUGGGCUAAUACUGGUGUGAAAAGUAUUUUUUAG
Molecule: long non-coding RNA, 5482 nt
Organism: Falco peregrinus (peregrine falcon)
Lineage: Eukaryota; Metazoa; Chordata; Aves; Falconiformes; Falconidae
Exons: 12
Source: RefSeq, a predicted model, not a curated record